AUCAUGGAAUGGAGCUGGACCUUCCUCUUCCUCCUGUCAGUAACUGCAGGGGUCCACACCCAGGUUCAACUGCAGCAGUCUGGAGCUGAGCUGGUAAAGUCUGGGGCUUCAGUGAAGAUAUUUUGCAAGGCUUCUGGCUAUGACUUCACCAGCUAUGAAAUGAGCUGGGUAAAGCAGACACCCACACAUGGCCUGGAAUGGAUUGGAGCUAUUAAUCCUGCAACUGGUGGUACUGGUUACAAUCAGAAGUUCAAGGGCAAGGCCACCUUGACUGCAGACAAAUCCUCCAACACAGCCUACAUGGAGCUCAGAAGCCUGACAUCUGAGGACUCUGCUGUCUAUUACUGUACUAGACACAGUGUUUUAACCACAUCCUGA
This is a non-coding RNA of Grammomys surdaster, 378 nucleotides long. NCBI's taxonomy places the organism in Eukaryota, Metazoa, Chordata, Mammalia, Rodentia, Muridae. The record is from the annotation of a RefSeq genome assembly.